CCGGGUUGAUCGUGACAGUAGUCAUAUGAUUUUCUCAAUGAUUAAGCCAUGCAUGUGUAAGUAUGAACAAAUUCAGACUGUGAAACUGCGAAUGUCUCCUUAAAUCAGUUAUAUUUUGUUUGAUGGUAUCUACUACUCGGAUAACCGUAGUAAUUCUAGAUCUAAUACGUGCAAUGAACCCCGACAUCUAGAAGGGAUUCAUUUACUAGAUAAAAGUUCGAUGCGGGCUCUGUCCGUUGUUGUGAUGAUUCAUGAUAACUCGACGGAUCAUACGCCAUCGUGCCGGAGACACAUCAUUUAAAUUUCUUUCCUAUCAACUUUCGAUGGUAGGAUAGUGGCCUACCAUAGUGGUGACGGGUGACAAAAAAUUAGAGAUCAAUUUUAGAGAGGGAGAUUGAGAAAUGGCUACCACAUCCAAGAAAUUCAGAAGGUGCACAAAUUACCCAAUCCUGACACGGUGAGGUAGUGACAAUAAAUAACAAUACCAGGCUAAUGAGUCUUGUAAUUGGAAUAAGUACAAUCUAAAUCCCUUAAUGAGGAUCCAAUUGAGGGAAAGUCUGGUGCCAGCAGCUGCAGUAAUUCCUGCACCAAUAGAGUAUAUUUAAGUUAUUGCAGUUAAAAAGCUUGUAGUUAGACUUUGGUAUGGGCCGUCCGGUCAGCCUAGGGUAUGAACCGGUAGUCUCGUCCCUUCUGUCGGCGAUGCUCUCCUGGCCUUAAAUAGAUGGGUUGUGCCUCCGAAGCUUUUACUCUGAAUAAAUUAGAGUGCUCAAAGCAACCUAUGCUCAGUAUACAUUAGCAUGGGAUAACAUUAUAGGAUUUCGAUCCUAUUACAUUGGCCUUCGGGAUCGGAAUAAUGAUUAAUAGGGAUAGUUGGAGGCAUUCUUAUUUCAUAGUCAUAGGUGAAAUUCUUGGAUUUUUGAAAGACGAACAACUACAAAAGAAUUUGCCAAGGAUAUUUUCAUUAAUCAAGAACGAAAGUUAGAGGCUAGAAUACAAUUAGAUACCAUCCUAGUCUGAACCAUAAACGAUGUUAACCAGGGAUCGGAGGAUGUUGCUUUUAGGACUCCGCCGACACCUUAUGAGGAAUCAAAGUUUUUAGGUUCCUGGGGGAGAAUGGUCGCAAGGCUAAAACUUAAAGAAAUUGACGGAAGGGCACCACCAGGAGUGGAGCCUACGUCUUAAUUUGACUCAACAUGGGGAAACUUACCAGGUCCAGACAUAGUAAGGAUUGACAGAUUGAGAGCUUUUUCUUGAUUCUAUGGGUGGUGGUGCAUGGACGUACUUAGUUGGUAAAGUGAUUUGUCUGGUUAAUUCUAUUAACGAAUGAGACCUCAGUCUUCUAACUAGCUAUGCGAAGGUAUCCCUUUGUGGGUAGCUUCUUAGAGGGACUACGGUAUUUUAGGUCAUGGAAGUUUCAGGCAAUGACAGGUCUGUGAUGCUGUUAGAUGUUCUGGGCCGCACGCGCGCUAUACUGAUGUAUUUAACGAUUUUAUAGACUUGGUGGAUAGGCCUAGGUAAUCUUUGAAAUUUCAUCUUGAUGGGGAUAGAUCAUUGCAUUUCUUGGUCUUCAACGAGGAAUUCCUAGUAAGAGCGAGUCAUCAGCUCGUGUUGACUAUAUCCCUGCCCUUUGUACACACCGCCUGUCGCUCCUACCAUUUGAAUGAUUCAGUGAAAUGUUCGAAUUGUGGCAACAUGGUCGGUUUGCUGCCCGUGGGAUCAUGAGAAGUCCAUUGAACCUUAGCAUUUAGAGGAAGGAAAAGUCGUAACAAGGUUUCCGUAGGUGAACCUGCGGAAG
This 1795-nucleotide ribosomal RNA is filed under the name Capsicum baccatum. RNAcentral describes it as "bacterial SSU rRNA". It matches the Rfam family "Eukaryotic small subunit ribosomal RNA". Lineage: Eukaryota; Viridiplantae; Streptophyta; Magnoliopsida; Solanales; Solanaceae. The record is from RNAcentral.